CUUCCUGCUAGGAAUGAGGAAUCCAACUGCUCAUCUUCUCUUCUCCAGCCCUUCCAACUGCUGGAACCAAGGAGAGCAAUCUUCUGUCCACUGUCCCAGAGAAGCUUCCAAGUGUGAGACAAAUCUCGCGGCUGAGGUGGUUCAAAGGAGGCUGAGGAAAACAAGCACUGAGGGUCCAGGGAAGGUAAAACGGUCAGAAGAAAACCCCUGGAGAUUAAUUUGGAAUUUGUGGGCUGAAGAAUGAGGAUUUGAGUCACAGCUGACCACACGUCUUGAGAAUCAGAGAAUCAUUAAGGCUGGAAAAGACUUUCAAGAUCAUUAAGUCCAACCUUUGUAUUUGCAGUUAACAAGGUGAAUUCUGACUAAAAUAUCCGAGGUGGUAGAGAUCCAUUAAAAAAAUCCAUUUUUUUGCCAUUGUUAGAUGUAAUUACAUUCCUUCUUUACUGCAUGGAAUUGUCUUUUGGGUACAUAUUUUUAUUGGCAAUCAG
Long non-coding RNA from Zonotrichia leucophrys gambelii, 488 nucleotides. RefSeq lists it as uncharacterized. The record is from RefSeq and is a predicted model, not a curated record. The transcript has 3 exons. NCBI's taxonomy places the organism in Eukaryota, Metazoa, Chordata, Aves, Passeriformes, Passerellidae.